GGGAAUAUAAUAAAUAUAUAAUAAUAUAAAAGUGGGUAAGAGAAAUCGGAAAAAUAAAAAGGUGGAUUUCGACCAUAGUUGGAGUUACCUUGCAAUUGUUGGCUCGGAUGUAAGGUAGGUGCUCUUAAGGUAGAGCAACUUGGGUCAAAUUCGGCUCAGAUGCAAAGUACUUGGCAGUAGGAUCAAUGGAUCGUAACCUCCGCAUGUUUGGCCUUUCCCGAAGGCGAUGCUUCAAUGGAAUCAUAAAAAGGCUCCUUCUGUUCAACUUAUUUGGCAAGUUGGUUGUUAAAACAUUCUUUAAGAUUGCUAAUUGCGACUGUCAUGUUUUGUGGUCGGCAUAAUCGGAGAUUUCGAGGAUUGGUCAUUACACAAUCCCUAAAGAGAUGAAUGAGGUCUGCAAUUGGCUUACAGCAAGGUUGGAGCUCGAGGAUAACACUAAAUAUAGCGAAGAGUCGGGAAGCAAUAAAGGUGAAAAGAGAGAAGACUGCAUAUGUUACAAGUAGGUAGUAAACAAAAUGGAUUGUUAGGGUAUAUGGUAUACUUGGAUCUGGAGAUGUUUCACUAAUGGGGCUACCCUUGUAGAAAUAAGAGAUUAGUAGAGUUUCUUGGAAUUGAAGUUGCAAUUUCAGACUGUAUUAGUUGUUAUGUAGUAUAACAUCAAUAUCAAUGUCCAUCGUCUUAGGAACCUUUUUAUUUGUUUACUUUUGUACAUUGGGUUGAAUGUUGGUGGUAUAUAUUUUGGCUAAAUGUUAGUGUAUUUUGAUAUUGGAUCUAUUUUUGUAAUGAAUAUUCAACCUUUAUUUUAGUUUUAAUUUAAUAUUUUUUAGUUGUAUUUAAA
Molecule: long non-coding RNA, 838 nt
Organism: Gossypium arboreum
Lineage: Eukaryota; Viridiplantae; Streptophyta; Magnoliopsida; Malvales; Malvaceae
Exons: 4
Source: RefSeq, a predicted model, not a curated record